Molecule: ribosomal RNA, 253 nt
Filed under: uncultured bacterium
Lineage: Bacteria
Description: partial 16S ribosomal RNA
Rfam family: Bacterial small subunit ribosomal RNA
Source: RNAcentral
UACGGAGGGGGCUAGCGUUGUUCGGAAUUAUUGGGCGUAAAGCGCGCGUAGGCGGUUACUCAAGUCGGAUGUGAAAGCCCUCGGCUUAACUGAGGAAGUGCACCCGAAACUGAGUAGCUAGAGUACCAAAGAGGGUCGCGGAAUUCCCGGUGUAGAGGUGAAAUUCGUAGAUAUCGGGAGGAACACCGGUGGCGAAGGCGGCGACCUGGGUGGAUACUGACGCUGAGGCGCGACAGCGUGGGGAGCAAACAGG